GCAGCUUCGGCAGGGCCUGCGCGAGAUAAGGAACGAAGGGAAGAGGAGGAGAGAAGAUAAGGGAGGGGAGAGGAGGAGAUAAGGUGGGGAGAGAGGGGAGACUAAAGGCCCCGGGGAGGCGUUUAGUCCUGGUUGAAAACACAACUAGGACUGAAGGCCCCCAUUUAGUCCCGGUUGGUGUUUUCAGCCGGGAUUAAAAGGCCCAUCAUCCCACUAGCCGUUACAACCGGGACUAAAGGGGCUCUUUAGUCCUGAUUGAUAUUACCAACUGGGACUAAAGAGCCCCCCUUUGGUGGCCAUUGGUGGUGGACUUUUGAACGGGGCUAAAGGCUCUUUAGUCCCGGGUCCAAAGACAACCGGGAAAAAAAACAUUGGAUGGAAGGUGAGU
Molecule: long non-coding RNA, 388 nt
Filed under: Setaria viridis
Lineage: Eukaryota; Viridiplantae; Streptophyta; Magnoliopsida; Poales; Poaceae
Description: long non-coding RNA (SVIR_LNC007820)
Source: RNAcentral